AGUCUUAAUUUUUGUGCGUUUAAAGUUCUAAGCAUUUUUUGCCGUUUCUCUUUUUUAAGGUUUUUCCUUCAUUUUUUCUUGUGAAUUGCUUCUAUGCUUUGUGCAUAAUAAACACAAUAGUUUUGAAGAACACAACACGAGAGAGUAUUCGAAUCAGAAAGAAAGUUAAGUAAUCAAGAAGAUGGGUUUUCCAAAGGAAGAGAAAUCCAAAAGGGUAUUGAGAGGUGUGAAGAUUGUGUUCUUCAUGAUCACCAUGGUUUUCUCACUUCUUAUUUUCUCUGCCCCAGUUCUAUUCGCCAUUGUUGAUGCACUUGUUCCUUCAGUUCUAUUCUCAGCCUUUUCUUCCUCUUCUCUCUUCUCCCAUUUUCAGAACUACCAUUUCGGAUACUCUCUCAUUGACAUACCCCUUCUAUCUAUAGCACGAUCACUUCUCAUUUUAUUUUAGUUUAAAAGAACAGUUUUUGGAUAAAGUAUUUCUGAUUAUAAUCAGAGAAAAGACACCAAAGCUGUCAAAUGCAAGAUUCCGAUUGAUUCCUCUGUGUUGGGAUUGGUGGGUGGUGGGUUUUGUGUAGGUGUUUAUAGUUUUUGCGAUGGACCAAAGCUUUCACGUGGGCCUUAUCUGGGACUGACCAUGUUAUGCUCAGUGAUGUCUCUGAUGUUUGUCUGCUUCAAAGUUAUUUGCUUGUUUGGCUACGACACGAGUGUUGGAGAAACAGAAUUACUAAGGUACAACAGAGGCUUCCAAAUAACUCUCAUCGUGUGGUCGUGUUGUUUGGCAGUGGUACAUGUGGUUGUUGCCUACAGAACAAGUUGCAGAGAAAGGAAGAAGCUUCUGGUUUACAAAAUUGACAUUGAAGGUGUAAGAGCUUGUUCUUCUUCCUACUUUGUUUCGUUACAUGAUAAAACAGAAAAAGAAAAAGAUGAUAUUUGCUUGUUUUCUUGUAAAUGAUUGACCUACUUGUGCAUC
Molecule: RNA transcript, 967 nt
Organism: Vigna radiata var. radiata (mung bean)
Lineage: Eukaryota; Viridiplantae; Streptophyta; Magnoliopsida; Fabales; Fabaceae
Exons: 2
Source: RefSeq, a predicted model, not a curated record